RNAcentral lists this small nucleolar RNA (137 nucleotides) under Vombatus ursinus (common wombat). RNAcentral describes it as "Small nucleolar RNA SNORA13 (ENSVURG00010015708.1)". It matches the Rfam family "Small nucleolar RNA SNORA13". Rfam says of the family: ACA13 is a member of the H/ACA class of snoRNA that guide the sites of modification of uridines to pseudouridines. Lineage: Eukaryota; Metazoa; Chordata; Mammalia; Diprotodontia; Vombatidae. The record is from Rfam by way of RNAcentral.
UGCCUUUUGUGUUGCCCGUUCACUUUGGUCACUAGUGGAUGUGGUGUCAAAAAAGGCAGAAAUAAAACACUUGGCAGCCUUUCUUCUUGCCUUGGGAUUUUUGUUCCAUUGGCGAGUGUGCUGUGUAAGUAACAAGU